GGUGGGCUCCGAUCUUGAAUCGUACAUGCGCAGACUUCAAACCGUGGCAAGCGGCGUCGAUCAAGAGUCGUCGUCGUGAGCAUUGCUGGAAUAGACGGAGCAGGACUCUGGCAGGU
Non-coding RNA from Nitrospira sp. SG-bin1, 116 nucleotides. NCBI's taxonomy places the organism in Bacteria, Pseudomonadati, Nitrospirota, Nitrospiria, Nitrospirales, Nitrospiraceae. The record is from Rfam.